This 869-nucleotide ribosomal RNA is filed under the name Staphylococcus epidermidis. RNAcentral's name for it is "bacterial SSU rRNA". It matches the Rfam family "Bacterial small subunit ribosomal RNA", at positions 49 to 901 of the family's 1533-position model. Lineage: Bacteria; Bacillati; Bacillota; Bacilli; Caryophanales; Staphylococcaceae. The record is from RNAcentral.
CUAUACUGCAGUCGAGCGAACAGACGAGGAGCUUGCUCCUCUGACGUUAGCGGCGGACGGGUGAGUAACACGUGGAUAACCUACCUAUAAGACUGGGAUAACUUCGGGAAACCGGAGCUAAUACCGGAUAAUAUAUUGAACCGCAUGGUUCAAUAGUGAAAGACGGUUUUGCUGUCACUUAUAGAUGGAUCCGCGCCGCAUUAGCUAGUUGGUAAGGUAACGGCUUACCAAGGCAACGAUGCGUAGCCGACCUGAGAGGGUGAUCGGCCACACUGGAACUGAGACACGGUCCAGACUCCUACGGGAGGCAGCAGUAGGGAAUCUUCCGCAAUGGGCGAAAGCCUGACGGAGCAACGCCGCGUGAGUGAUGAAGGUCUUCGGAUCGUAAAACUCUGUUAUUAGGGAAGAACAAAUGUGUAAGUAACUAUGCACGUCUUGACGGUACCUAAUCAGAAAGCCACGGCUAACUACGUGCCAGCAGCCGCGGUAAUACGUAGGUGGCAAGCGUUAUCCGGAAUUAUUGGGCGUAAAGCGCGCGUAGGCGGUUUUUUAAGUCUGAUGUGAAAGCCCACGGCUCAACCGUGGAGGGUCAUUGGAAACUGGAAAACUUGAGUGCAGAAGAGGAAAGUGGAAUUCCAUGUGUAGCGGUGAAAUGCGCAGAGAUAUGGAGGAACACCAGUGGCGAAGGCGACUUUCUGGUCUGUAACUGACGCUGAUGUGCGAAAGCGUGGGGAUCAAACAGGAUUAGAUACCCUGGUAGUCCACGCCGUAAACGAUGAGUGCUAAGUGUUAGGGGGUUUCCGCCCCUUAUUGCUGCAGCUAACGCAUUAAGCACUCCGCCUGGGGAGUACGACCGCAAGGUUGAAAUU